UAUUUUUUUUAUUGAAUAUUUUUUUUUGUAUUUAUAUUGUUUUAAAAAAAAGAACAAAAAUUUAUCCUCCCACAACCCCCCGCAACCGCAACCGCAAAUGUUAGCUGAAACCAUAUUUUGAAUUUAUGAAGUUUAAAGCGGUUUAUAGCAGUUUGAGUGAUUGUUGCAAAACGCCGACAACCGCCACCAACCGAAAAAGCUGCGUUUGCAGGUGGUAGCGGAGAAACCAAUCAUACCCUAAAUGCAGAGUCAAGGUUGGUCCCAAAGUCAUUCAAGGGCCAUCUCCACCCUUUAUUUGCAGAAGCACAAUUUAUCCCACACAAUCCAAUUACAUACCUUAACUCUUUAAGGCUUGUUGAUGGCCCAACAAGUAACUAAAUCAGUCACUUCUAAAAUCAAUUAAAACUUAUUGGGCCGUAGUUGGGCUAUUUCGCAUCCACUGUGGCCCGUAAUAGUAAGGCGUACUGAACCUCUAGGGCUUCCGAUACCCUAAUAUCUCUUUGUAUAUAAUCCAUCUCACGAACUAUCUUCUUCCUCAUCCCUUCUUCUUCUUCGUACUUCUCCAUCAAUAGCUUUUUAUUCUCUUAGCUUUCUUUUUGUACUUGUCUUUAAGUCUUGUAUGUGACGGGAUUUCUCUCCGAAAUCUUACUCUUACUGGAGCAAUCUGAAUACUGUGAUUGCAUAAUCCACUAGUAAACGUCACAGAGCGAAACUGUAUACCGAGGGCGUUGACGGAGCUUCACGGCUUCUCCGUCUGAGGUGUCUUGCUCUCAUAUUCUAUGUCUCUGCGGAGCGGCGUCGCUGCUUUUACCGUUUGAGCCGGCCAUGAGAUCGAUAUUUCGUUGCUUAUUUUACAAUUGAAUUAGGGUUUAAAGCCGAUGAGGACAUCAGAUUAUAAAAGAACACCAUCUUUCGGGAUUGAUUACUUAUUGAUGAUUCUUCUGCAAUUCUGAGGCUUUUUAUUAUUAGUAUUAUUAAUUGUUUAGAUUAGUUUUUUUUGUUGGCAGUGAUGAUUGAGAAUGUCAUGCACCACUCUGAUUUCGUGCUGAUAACUAUCUCUACCCAUAUUAUAUCUGAGCCUUGUUAUAGUAAUUAUAUUCGAUUUUUGGUAAAGAGAAAGGGUUAAGAAGAUAACCAGAUGAUGGUCAUUAUUAAUGAUUUGACCUUGAUGCGGACUGUAUUUCUUUGAUGAUAACUUUUUGGUUCCUGAUGGUUAUUACCCUUUUCAGUUGUGUUGUUAAAUUAUGUUUUUACCAUUUUUCAAUGUUUUGUUCAAUGGUUGAUUUCGAAGUUUUAUUGGUUUAAUGGUUGAUUUCAAAUUUAUAUAUUGUCAAUGGUUUGGUUUAUUUGUUGUAGGCUAUGGUGGUUGUUUACAUUUGGCUUGGGAGAUCCGUGGAGGUUAUUCUGCUGCCUUGUAGAGAAUCUGCAGUUUUCUGAUUCUGUUAACCUUCUUAUGUAUAAAAGAGAUCCUGUGUGAUUGUACUUGUUCUGACAACCUUUGUGACAUAUUGACUUAUAUGGUUAUAUGUAAUAUUUGACGGAAGAUUAUUGUUUAAUUGUUAGACCGUUCCAAAAUUUUAUUAGACUGUUUCAAAUUGUAUCUCUCUUUCAGAUAUAAUACGUUUGGCUUAGCAAAAAUUUCACUUCAUCCUGAGUUUAACAUUGUUCUGUUUUCUAAACUUUGUUAGUUUGUUCUUGGAUUUGUCCAUGUUUUGGACAUUUUAGAUCAAUUGAAGGGAUCUAUGGGAACUGUUGGUUUUGCAUAUGUUCUUGUUUGAUGAUCAUUGUUAACAUACUCACCGAAGCGGCCCUUUAGAAGCAUUUUACACGUCUUCAUCACGUUCCUUUUUUUUUUUGUUUCUUUGUUUAGAUCUUAUAACCUCAGCCCGGGUAGAAAUCUUUUUUUAUGGGCUUUUUUUCUAAAUAACCGAAAAAAUAGAAAUUAGAUUUUGGGAGAGAUCCUAAGAGAGAUAGGAAGAGAAAGUAGAAAAGAGGAAUUUUGGUUAGAUUUUUAAUUUUGUUUUUUUUCUUAGCUAGUUGGCCUAAUUUCCCUUUUUUAUUACUUAUCAUUACGUAUAGUUUUUUUUCCUCAACAAAUAUAUCGGUUUCAGAUAAUUCUUGUAAGACUGAAUUUGUAAUUGCGUAUACUUUUUUGUUAAAAAACACUACUUAAAAAUGUAAAUAUAAUAUACAAUUGCGUCAUCUUGUGUUUUUAGAACUUAGAAGUAAUGAUUAUAGAUCGAAUGUGAAACAAAAUAUUAACAGGGCCAAAAAAUCAGUUUCAAGCAUUAGUAGUGCAGAGUGUUAUGUGUCCCUUGUCAAGACAAAUCAGUCUCCAAAAUGACCUGUGAGCUCUCUAUGUGCCACACCACAAGUUGUGUUACAUGAAUUGUUUAUAAAACUAUAAAUCUAAGUAUUGAUUAAUCCCCCACAAGCAGCUUACUACUUAAAUAUUUUCAACUAUACUAGUUGCUUGGCUGCUACCUACCGUGUACCAUCAUCCUCUUUAAUAAUCUAUCCUAUACUAAAAGCAUCAUUUCCUCAAAAUCUAGGCUGCCACGUCACCUAAAAUAAUCAGCCAAUUAGAAGAUGUUGAUUUGCCAUGUCAGACGUUCUUUGACACAGAAUUUACCGGGUCAAUGUAAUUGGGCUUAUAACAAUUAUAUCUGACCCAUUAUAAUCUGCCCAUUUAUCCUUCCAGCCUAAAUAUUUGUAGCAAGCUACGCUGCCGCUCCCACUUCUUCAUCGUCGUUAUCUGCAAAUCGUUGUUGUUAUUAUGAUGACUCUUGCUACUCAUUCAAUUUCGUUCUUCGUUCCUAACUUCAUGCGGUCAGAUCUUGGCGAAGCUGAUGAAGCACAAGUGGUCGUGGGUGUUCAACAUGCCCGUCGACGUGUUAGGGUUAGGGCUUCACGACUAUCAUCUGAUCAUGAAGAAGCCUAUGGAUCUUAGAUCUUGGUGCUGUGAAGACGAAUCUCGAAAAGGGGUUUCAUAGAUCCCCCGUUGAUUUUGCUUCAGAUGUGAGGUUGACUUUCACGAACGCGUUGGCGUAUAAUUCGAAGGGGCAAGACGUUUAUAAAAUGGCUGAGAAGCUUCUGAGUCAGUUCGAUGUUUGGUUUGGUCCGAUGUUGAAGAAGUUCGAGGCUCAACAGGGUUCGUCUUCAACAGAUUUCAAUAGCUAAAAAGUUAGAUUCUUUGAAGCCGUUACCUACAUUGCCUCUGCCACGUGCCCAUCUCCUCCUCCAUCGCCACCUCCCCAGCCGGUGGUUAGCAAAGUGGAAACACCUCCUCCGCACUUCCCAACCGGUUAACCAAGUGGAAGCAUCGCCUCUUGAGGUGGGAGAAGCGCCUAAGGGGAGGAAAGGGAAGUUACCGAAGCCUAAGGCUAAGGAUCCAAACAAGAGAGAGAUGACGAUGGAAGAGAAGGCGAAGCUCGGUGUGAAUCUACAGGAGCUGCCUCCGGAGAAGCUUGGACAGUUGAUUCAGAUUCUUAAGAAGAGAACCACGAAUCUGUCUCAAGAUGGGGAUGAGAUUGAGUUGGAUAUCGAGGAGUUGGAUAAUGAGACUCUGUGGGAGCUUGAUCGUUUUGUCACUAACUACAAGAAGAUGGCAAGCAAGAUCAAGCGACAAGGGUUUAUUCAGAAUUUGUCGACUCCGACAAGAAAUCUGGUAAGGGAAAUUAAUGAUCUUCCACCUCCAUCCCUCUCUUUUUCCUCUUAUAUAAACCCUUCGCUCUAAGCUUUCACUAAACAAAAUUCUGCAACCUCCAUUCAAUAAACCAAUCGAUGAUCAUGAAAUCGGUUCAAAUCUCAAGCAAGUCUCCAGUGGCCCUAUAUCGCAUUUGAAUUACCCUUCUUACGUCGAGGAGUGUGCCAAUGUAACAUUACAACCCGUUACGUUUUAUUUUGAGUUUGAUCUCAUUGAUUCUUUUAGUUGUAGAAGAUAGCUUAUGAUCUCGAUAAACCUCACUACAUCCUGAGUCUAAUACUGACUAAGAGAUACUGACUAAGAGAGGACACAUAUAGUUUCUACUCUUUUUCUGUACAGUGCUAAAGUAAUUACAAGGUGGCCUUGAGCAGGGAUGACGCUAAAGUUAUUUUUUAAUACGGGUGUGAAAUGGAGAAAAGGAGCAAGAAAAGAUCCAAAGAUUGGAUAUGAAUAUGUUUAUUAUGAUCAAAAGAUAAACAGUAUUCUCUCUCUUCCUGCUACACUCAACGGCUUGCCAUGCAAGGAAAUCAGCUCCUGGUGUACAGUUAGGUCUGUCCGAGCUGCAACUCGGUGUUAAUCAACGGUUCAAAUCCCUAAUGUUUUCAAAUCCCUAAUGUUUUCCCGUCGGCAGCAUAUGAGUUUGAUCAUAUAAGAGCUAUAUUCUCUUAACUUUACUGUGUUUUAGCAAAAAAAAAAAAAUUUACUGUGUUGCUGAGCCUUUAGAUAUAUAGACAAAGAUGAUGACGUUUGACAAAAAAAAGACAAAUAUGAUGACAAAUAGAGAUGAUGGUUACAGAAACGUUUCUUCUCAAGGAAGAAGCUAAUUCUCUCUUUCUCUUUUCCAAACUUUUUGUUACCCAUUUCAUAUUAUUAUGUGCAUAUGCUUUGUUCGGCACCCAAAUUGUUUUGUUGAAGAUGUUAAUAUUUUAUACCUGGUA
Long non-coding RNA from Brassica rapa (field mustard), 4644 nucleotides. RefSeq lists it as uncharacterized. The record is from RefSeq and is a predicted model, not a curated record. NCBI's taxonomy places the organism in Eukaryota, Viridiplantae, Streptophyta, Magnoliopsida, Brassicales, Brassicaceae.